This 403-nucleotide ribosomal RNA is filed under the name Verrucomicrobiota bacterium. RNAcentral describes it as "Verrucomicrobia bacterium partial 16S ribosomal RNA". It matches the Rfam family "Bacterial small subunit ribosomal RNA", at positions 355 to 776 of the family's 1533-position model. The record is from RNAcentral. Lineage: Bacteria; Pseudomonadati; Verrucomicrobiota.
UGGGGAAUAUUGCACAAUGGGGGAAACCCUGAUGCAGCGACGCCGCGUGAGCGAAGAAGGCUUUCGAGUCGUAAAGCUCUGUCCUAUGAGAAGAUAAUGACGGUAUCAUAGGAGGAAGCCCUGGCUAAAUACGUGCCAGCAGCCGCGGUAAUACGUAUGGGGCGAGCGUUGUCCGGAAUUAUUGGGCGUAAAGGGUACGUAGGUGGUUUUUUAAGUCAGGUGUCAAAGCGUGGAGCUUAACUCCAUUAAGCACUUGAAACUGAAAGACUUGAGUGAAGGAGAGGAAAGGGGAAUUCCUAGUGUAGCGGUGAAAUGCGUAGAUAUUAGGAGGAAUACCGGUGGCGAAGGCGACUUUCUGGACUUUUACUGACGCUCAGGUACGAAAGCGUGGGGAGCAAACAGG